AGUGAAGCGGUAAAAGCUCAAAUUUUGAAAUCUGGUACUUUCAGUGCCCGAGUUGUAAUUUGUAGAAUUUGUCUUUGAUUAGGUCCUUGUCUAUGUUCCUUGGAACAGGACGUCAUAGAGGGUGAGAAUCCCGUUUGGCGAGGAUACCUUUUCUCUGUAAGACUUUUUCGAAGAGUCGAGUUGUUUGGGAAUGCAGCUCAAAGUGGGUGGUAAAUUCCAUCUAAAGCUAAAUAUUGGCGAGAGACCGAUAGCGAACAAGUACAGUGAUGGAAAGAUGAAAAGAACUUUGAAAAGAGAGUGAAAAAGUACGUGAAAUUGUUGAAAGGGAAGGGCAUUUGAUCAGACAUGGUGUUUUUUGCAUGCACUCGCCUCUCGUGGGCUUGGGCCUCUCAAAAAUUUCACUGGGCCAACAUCAAUUCUGGCAGCAGGAUAAAUCAUUAAGAACGUAGCUACCUCGGUAGUGUUAUAGCUUUUUGGAAUACUGCUAGCUGGGAUUGAGGACUGCGCUUCGGCAAGGAUGUUGGCAUAAUGGUUAAAUGCCGC
Molecule: ribosomal RNA, 543 nt
Filed under: Hanseniaspora meyeri
Lineage: Eukaryota; Fungi; Ascomycota; Saccharomycetes; Saccharomycodales; Saccharomycodaceae
Description: eukaryotic LSU rRNA
Rfam family: Eukaryotic large subunit ribosomal RNA
Source: RNAcentral